Molecule: ribosomal RNA, 421 nt
Filed under: uncultured bacterium
Lineage: Bacteria
Description: bacterial SSU rRNA
Rfam family: Bacterial small subunit ribosomal RNA
Source: RNAcentral
UCAGCAGCCGCGGUAAUACGAAGGUGGCAAGCGUUACUCGGAAUUACUAGGCGUAAAGGGCAGGUAGGUGGUUCGAUAAGUCUGUUGUGUAAGCUCCCGGCUUAACUGGGAGAGGUCAACGGAAACUAUCGAGCUUGAGUAUGGGAGAGGGUACUGGAAUUCCCGGUGUAGCGGUGAAAUGCGCAGAUAUCGGGAGGAACACCAAUGGCGAAAGCAGGUACCUGGACCAUUACUGACACUCAGCUGCGAAAGCUAGGGGAGCAAACAGGAUUAGAUACCCUGGUAGUCCUAGCUGUAAACGAUGCACAUUAGGCGUGGGGGGUAUCGACCCCCUCCGUGCCGACGUUAACACAUUAAAUGUGCCGCCUGGGGAGUACGGCCGCAAGGUUGAAACUCAAAGGAAUUGACGGGGGCCCGCACA